RNAcentral lists this long non-coding RNA (1490 nucleotides) under Sus scrofa (pig). RNAcentral describes it as "lncRNA (ENSSSCG00030041758.1)". Lineage: Eukaryota; Metazoa; Chordata; Mammalia; Artiodactyla; Suidae. The record is from RNAcentral.
AUGCAGGGCCACUUAUACAUGUCUUGUUGUCCUCACAGACUCUCUAGCGGCUCCAGGAAUCCGUGGGAUUCUCGUGGAGGAGGUUUGAGUUGCAUCUUAGAACAUGGAUCUUCUAUGUUCUUCCAGACUCAGGGCAGGCAUGGCCAUGGUGGGAACGACACCUUCUUGAGAUGGGAUGAAGGCAGGAGAUUCUGUCAUAGGAAGCUCAUGAUCAUUUCCGGUCUCAGCUGGUUGAGAGAAACCCAUUCUUCGCCAGCCAAAUCCUCUGCUGAUCAAACACACCUUGCUGUCAACAUGGACGACCAGGCUAAUUUGAGGUAUGGCAUCCACUCCUCUUCUUGAACUUGUGGCCUGAGCUCGAAUGACAGUGGCUGGAAGAGCCACAGCCAUUGUUUUAUGCAGUGAUUGUUGUUCCAAACAUACUAUAUCGGAUUAACCCCCAACUGAAUCCACUUCGAGGCCCCUGAAGAUGAGGCCUUUAAGAGAGAUUAGAUGUAAGCAGAACACAAAGGUGUGAAGACAUUGCCAAGGACAAGUCGCUUUGCCCACAAUUCUGGAUGUCCUUAUUUUGCAAGGUAAGGGUUUGGACUGCAGAAUUCCCGUAAGAGGCCUCCUUCCAGCUCCUGGAAGAUCCUAGAUUUGGAGUAUCCCCGCUGUUGGAGACUGAAUGCUUGUUCCAAGCCCACCUCCUCACCCCUCACCUUCCUACCCCCACCACCCGCUACCCUGUCCCAAUCCACGUGCUGAACCCCUAACUUGCAAUGUGCUGUUAUUUGGAGAUGGAUUCCUGGGGGUAAUAAUUAAAUCUAGAUGAGAUUAUGAGGGUGAAGCCCUCCUGAUGGGGUCAGCCUUGCAGGUUUGGUUUGGUUUGGUUUUGCUUUUUAGGGCCGCACCUGUGGCAUUUGGAAGUUGCCAGGCAACAGGUCAAGUUGGAAAUGCAGCUGCCAGCCAACACCACAGCCACAGCCAUGUGGGAUCCUUAACCCACUGAGUGAGGCCAGGGAUUGAACCCUCGUCCUCACGGAUACUAGUUGGGUUCAUUAACUCUGAGCCACAAGGGAAAGACGCCAGAGUGAGCACGUGCGUGUGCAUGUGUGUGCACGUGCAUGAGAGAGACACACACAGGCAGGUGCACUGCCAUGCACCAUGGCAGCUGUCUUGCCAGCCUGAAAAGGCUUCACCAAGAACCUAAUCUCCUGGCACCUUGAUCUGAGAUACCCAGGCUUAGAACUGUGAAGGAAUGAACUUCUCCUGCCGAAGCCCCAGCCUCACACCCCCAGUCUGUGGUAUUUUUGUUUCAGCAGCUGGUGCUGACUCAUCCAACUGCCCAGGAAUGAAAUGCUCGCAGGGAGCCGAACUCAGUGAAGCCUGGCCUUUUCACCAGCUCCGCAUCCCUUCAACACAUACUGAAGUCCUGCGUGCUUAUGAGCUGCUCCACCUGGGCUGCACACUGAGGACUUCAGAGAAAUAAACACAGUCUCUGCCUUCCA